Uranotaenia lowii is the source of this 789-nucleotide long non-coding RNA. RefSeq lists it as uncharacterized. The transcript has 4 exons. The record is from RefSeq and is a predicted model, not a curated record. Lineage: Eukaryota; Metazoa; Arthropoda; Insecta; Diptera; Culicidae.
AGAAAAGGAAAUUCACAGAAGGAAUCAAUGAUUUUGGAAGAGCGAAACCGAAUCGACAAGAUCAUUUAUUAAAAGUCGGGACAAUCAUUUAUGACUUAUGAUCGAACUGCUCAGCGAACGCUCCCGGCCGGUGGUACUACCAAAAUCGAACGACUGCCGGUUGAACUGCCAAAAUCGGGUCUGGUUUAAAAUGGCUCCUAACAACAUCCAGCCGAAGUACAAGGAGCAUUCCUGUAACGUCCGCAGCAGUACGACCCCUGAGCCAACGAAAUCAAAGAGCUGAGUCGAAAGCUAGUGCAGAAACACAAGCAAAUCGGCUCAGAUUCUACUAAAAAGGUGUCCGUUCCAUGCAUUCUUCGUCUUCCAAUGUCCGACUUCGAGAACUAUGAAUGGCAUGGUCUAGAACCUGCUGUGGUACAAAUGCCUCGACGAAGAUUUCGAUUUAAGUCGUUUGCUGAGGAAACUUGUGACCGUUUUAAAAGACGCUAGCUGAUCCAUCGAUUCAGCAGGAUUUGUUGAAACUGGCUUGCCUACUGUACAGGGACCAUCCGGAGUGAUUGUCCGAAUCAAGGUAACGCAUCAUCUCAACCAUCAUUAUGGAAACGACACUUCAUUGCGUGAAUUGGAGGAUGAAACCCACAAGAAUCUGAAAAUUACAAUGGAUGAAAAGAAUUGGAUCAUUCGUGUAUACGCAGGUUCUCCACUAUAAAACGUUCGUAAUUAUGAAAAAAAUAUACAUAGAACUAGAAAGAAUAUUUUUGCAUAAGAUUUUCUUUAAUUAUCCCGUUA